GUAGGUGGCAAGCGUUGUUCGGAAUUAUUGGGCGUAAAGCGCGCGCAGGCGGUUCUUUAAGUCUGAUGUGAAAGCCCACGGCUCAACCGUGGAGGGUCAUUGGAAACUGGAGAACUUGAGUACAGAAGAGGAAAGCGGAAUUCCACGUGUAGCGGUGAAAUGCGUAGAGAUGUGGAGGAACACCAGUGGCGAAGGCGGCUUUCUGGUCUGUAACUGACGCUGAGGCGCGAAAGCGUGGGGAGCAAACAGGAUUAGAUACCCUGGUAGCCCACGCCGUAAACGAUGAGUGCUAAGUGUUAGGGGGGUUUCCGCCCCCCUUAGUGCUGCAGCUAACGCAUUAAGCACUCCGCCUGGGAGUACGGCCGCAAGGCUG
RNAcentral lists this ribosomal RNA (373 nucleotides) under uncultured organism. RNAcentral describes it as "partial 16S ribosomal RNA". It matches the Rfam family "Bacterial small subunit ribosomal RNA", at positions 527 to 896 of the family's 1533-position model. The record is from RNAcentral.